AGUGAACGCUGGCGGUAGGCCUAACACAUGCAAGUCGAACGGCAGCACAGUAAGAGCUUGCUCUUACGGGUGGCGAGUGGCGGACGGGUGAGGAAUACAUCGGAAUCUACUUUUUCGUGGGGGAUAACGUAGGGAAACUUACGCUAAUACCGCAUACGACCUACGGGUGAAAGCAGGGGAUCUUCGGACCUUGCGCGAUUGAAUGAGCCGAUGUCGGAUUAGCUGGUUGGCGGGGUAAAGGCCCACCAAGGCGACGAUCCGUAGCUGGUCUGAGAGGAUGAUCAGCCACACUGGAACUGAGACACGGUCCAGGCUCCUACGGGAGGCAGCAGUGGGGAAUAUUGGACAAUGGGCGCAAGCCUGAUCCAGCCAUACCGCGUGGGUGAAGAAGGCCUUCGGGUUGUAAAGCCCUUUUGUUGGGAAAGAAAAGCAGCAGGUUAAUACCCCGCUGUUCUGACGGUACCCAAAGAAUAAGCACCGGCUAACUUCGUG
RNAcentral lists this ribosomal RNA (492 nucleotides) under uncultured bacterium. RNAcentral's name for it is "partial 16S ribosomal RNA". It matches the Rfam family "Bacterial small subunit ribosomal RNA", at positions 29 to 507 of the family's 1533-position model. The record is from RNAcentral.